This is a non-coding RNA of Gopherus flavomarginatus (Mexican gopher tortoise), 669 nucleotides long. Lineage: Eukaryota; Metazoa; Chordata; Testudines; Testudinidae. The record is from the annotation of a RefSeq genome assembly.
AGUCUCAGCAAGGAUGCAAAUCUGAAAGGGGCCCCGCUCUUCCCCACAACCCGUCUGUGUCUGGAAUCCAGGCUCCGCCCACCCACAGCACCCACUUGCUCAGAGCAGUUCUACAAAGUGACCCCCUGGGAUUCAUUUCCCAGCUGUGUUAGGCUACCCAGAGCUGUCGGCUGUGGGUACCAAAGAGGCUCCUAGUUCAGGAGGCGGAACUGGUAAAUUUGCCCCAGAGGGAGAAGUAAAUCUACCUGUGAGGGGGCUGAACCUUUUGUACUGAACGGGGAACACCCGGCGAUACAGCUUCUUUGCUGAGGGACAAUGAGGAGACCCUGGCAGCUGUUUCCACGCCUGCUGCUACUGCUGGUGAACAUUCCCUGGGGGAGCUGCCAGGCCGAGGUGCACCAGAAUCUGUCUGCGGUCACUCGGGAAGGGCAGAACGGCAGCAUCUCUUGCCACUACAAGACGAGUAAUUUCGGGAGCUUGCAGUGGUUCAGGCAGCUACCAGGAGGCCAGCCUGUCUCUCUGCUGGUUCUGGUGUCCAAUGGGAAACAAACCAAGGAGCCCAACCUCACCGCGGAGCUCGACAAGGGGAAGAAGCUGAGUUCCCUGCACAUCAGAGAAUCACAGCUGGGAGAUGCAGCCACCUACUUCUGUGCCUUGGGGACACAGUGA